Molecule: transfer RNA, 72 nt
Filed under: Planctomycetota bacterium
Lineage: Bacteria; Pseudomonadati; Planctomycetota
Description: tRNA-Gln
Rfam family: tRNA
About the family: Transfer RNA (tRNA) molecules are approximately 80 nucleotides in length. Their secondary structure includes four short double-helical elements and three loops (D, anti-codon, and T loops).
Source: RNAcentral
UGCCCGAUGGUGUAAUUGGCAACACUGGGGAUUCUGGUUCCCUCAUUCCAGGUUCAAAUCCUGGUCGGGCAA